AAUUAAAAUACAGAUGAUACAAAAUUAAACAUACAUAUUUAAGCCAUCAUCUUUUUUCAAAACACGUUGUGUGUGCCUCCUGGCAGUUGGUGAAAUUUCUGAUGUAUUCAACAACAUUGAUCUCCACUUUGUCUCUGCAUGUUCUCCUUUUAUUUUAAUUUGUACCAUUUUUUUCCCAAAUAAAAGUACUUGCACUCACUUAGAGAUGCUGAAAUAAAUUGAUUGGUAUAAAGUAAGGUAUCUGAUUAACCAAAUUUACACUAAAGCCAAUUGGCCUUUUCAUGGAUUAUAACACUAUGCACAACCACUCCAUACUCAAACAUGCAUUUCUUUCUCCAAUGUUAUAUGAUGCAGCACCUAGCUCUUUACAGGACAUUUUUUUCUUGGUGGGUCACAGAUUUUCCUUCUGUUGGUGAUGGCCUAGGCCACUAUAGGGCCAUCUGCAAGUCCUUGCAGUAUUUGGUUGUCAUGAAGCAAUGGCUGUGUGUUGUGCUGCUGGUGGUGUCCUGGGCUGGAGGAUUUUUGCACAUAGUAAUUCAACUUGGACUUAUUUAUGGGCUCCCAUCUUAUGACCCCAAUGUCAUUGGUCAUUUUAUUUGUGACAUGGACCCCUUAAUGAAGCUUGUCUGUGACUACACACUCAACAGAUUUGCCUAUUUUGCAGGUCAUGAUUAAAUACUAGGUUUUAUGUAUUUCACUUAUGCUCAGACUGGACUGUUUCCUUUUGGUGAUUCGACCUCAUUAUUCUUUUGUCAUUUUUUCCCUAGAGGACUUGGUUCUAUAAAUCUUGCUAUACAUAGUUAUUAUCCCUGUGGCAUCUCUAGAGAUACGGAGCCUACCAUCAGAAUUAUGAUAAAGGUCCCAAUGAAUUUAAUUAGAGAAGAAUCACCUUUGGAGAUGCACCAGUUGAAUGACUCAACAAUAUGUGUUGCAGUUCAAAUGUGGAUAAAGUAUCCACAGACUUCUGCCCUUACUUCAAAGAGUAUUUGUUUAUAACAGUAUUCACAUGACUGAUUUUUAGGAAUUAAAAUGAUAGACUCAAAACAUGAUAAAAUACGGAUUAAAAUUAUUCUCCAUCCUUCAGAUUA
RNAcentral lists this long non-coding RNA (1088 nucleotides) under Homo sapiens (human). RNAcentral describes it as "non-protein coding lnc-OR4C12-4:1". Lineage: Eukaryota; Metazoa; Chordata; Mammalia; Primates; Hominidae. The record is from RNAcentral.